Molecule: non-coding RNA, 694 nt
Organism: Penaeus vannamei (Pacific white shrimp)
Lineage: Eukaryota; Metazoa; Arthropoda; Malacostraca; Decapoda; Penaeidae
Source: RefSeq, a predicted model, not a curated record
GGAGGAGGAAGAAGAUUCUGUGACCCGGCUACAGAAAACGAAUCGCUUUUCCCUGUUUUUUCCACUUUUUUUUUGUUUUUGUUUUGCGUGUGUCGAACCAAGGGAAAACUCGGCAGUAUUUUAGUAGCCGCGCGGUCAGGCAGGCGCCUCCGAGUCUAUUUGGACCUCGCCAAUACCAACACGACCUCCACUACCAAUACCAACAGCACAGUCACUACCAACAUCGGUGGCAGGACGGGGCACGGACAGACCCAACCGGGGCGAAGUGUUGCUAUAGACCUUAAUAUCAAAACGAAUUUAGUGCCGCGGUGAAGUGACCGGUGCGAUCUCAGGAGUUUGGUGACGGAUCUUGCAAAGAGUAAAUACCUUUUUGUGUGGUGAGAGUAACAGUGAGUUUGCGUCGUAGCAGGAAAGUAUAGAGUGUCUGAUACUAUCAUUAAACCGGUGUUACUGUGUAGACGUAGUGGCCUUGAGCAGUGUUAGCGAAGGGAAACAGCAUACUCGGAACCCAGUUUAUACUCCGCGCAAUAUAUCUACAGUAUGAGUGAGUUAGUAUACUCCGAAUAGCAUAACCAAGGCAGUUACUCAUAUUUUGUGCAGUUUAUCUACAAGAUAUGAUGACAGCUGAAUGACACCGACAAAAUAAACAAAAGAAAAACCAAAAAUAAUCAAAUCAACUAGAAAAAACAAAAAA